Molecule: long non-coding RNA, 1100 nt
Filed under: Salmo trutta (river trout)
Lineage: Eukaryota; Metazoa; Chordata; Actinopteri; Salmoniformes; Salmonidae
Description: lncRNA (ENSSTUG00000010621.1)
Source: RNAcentral
GAUAUAGGACUCGUUUUACUGUGGAUAUAGAUACUUUUGUACCUGUUUCCUCCAGCAUCUUCACAAGUUCCUUUGCUGUUGUUCUGGGAUUGAUUUCCACUUUUCGCACCGAUCAGAAGCUUCUAAUGCCAUUACAUAAUUUUCUGGAAUUUUCCAAGCUGUUUAAAGGCAGUCAGCUUAGUGUAUGUAAACUUCUGACCCACUGGAAUUGUGAUACGGUGAAAUAUAAGUGAAAUAAUCUGUCUGUAAACAAUUGGAAAAAUGACUUAUGUCAUGCACAAAGUAGAUGUCCUACCCGACUUGCCACAACUAUAGUUUGUUAACAAGAAAUUUGUGGAGUGGUUGAAAAACAAGUUUUAAUCACUCCAACCUAAGUGUAUGUAAACUUCCGACAUCAACUGUAUUUCACUCCAGUGUAAAUUGCUAAGUUAUAAUUACUUGCCUUACCUCCGUAAACUUGCGAUUUCAACUGUAGCUACUACUCCUGAUCUCCAUUAACGCAUGGCUACUGCCACUAUCCUGAAGAGCCUGGCGCAUGGCUACUACCACUAUCCUGAAGAGCCUGGCGCAUGGCUACUACCACUAUCCUGAAGAGCCUGGCGCAUGGCUACUACCACUAUCCUGAAGAGCCUGGCGCAUGGCUACUACCACUAUCCUGAAGAGCCUGACGCAUGGCUACUACCACUAUCCUGAAGAGCCUGGCGCAUGGCUACUACCACUAUCCUGAAGAGCCUGGCGCAUGGCUACUGCCACUAUCCUGAAGAGCCUGACGCAUGGCUACUACCACUAUCCUGAAGAGCCUGACGCAUGGCUACUACCACUAUCCUGAAGAGCCUGGCGCAUGGCUUCCUUGUUGUCUUUUUCCAUUGUCCUUUCCAGCAGUGAAGGUUCAUCCGUACGCUAUGAGCAGAAGUAGGGUUAACUAGGCCUGCCCAGUAUUGCUCAGCUUGGCUCAGUAGUGUGAAAACCGAAUGGUCUCUCUCUGAUGCCGGGGGGGGGGGUUAGGGUCUGUCUCUGCUGGAGGGGGGGUUAGGGUCUGUCUCUGCUGGAGGGGGGGUUAGGGUCUGUCUCUGCUGGAGGGGGGGUUAGGGUCUGUCUCU